AGCGAGCGUUUGCGGCGGGCUUAACACAUGCAAGUCGAACGGGCUGUUCCUUCGGGAGCAGUCAGUGGCGCACGGGUGCGUAACACGUAGGUAAUCAACCCUCUGGUUGGGGAUAACACUUCGAAAGGAGUGCUAAUACCCGGUAUGGCGCAGCGGUCUUCGGAUCGCGGCGAGAAAGACCCGCAAGGGUUGCCAGAGGACGAGCCUGCGGCCCAUCAGCUAGUUGGCGAGGUAACGGCUCACCAAGGCGAAGACGGGUAGCUGGUCUGAGAGGAUGAUCAGCCACACUGGAACUGAGACACGGUCCAGACUCCUACGGGAGGCAGCAGUGGGGAAUAUUGCGCAAUGGGCGAAAGCCUGACGCAGCCACGCCGCGUGAGCGAUGAAGGCCU
Molecule: ribosomal RNA, 392 nt
Filed under: uncultured bacterium
Lineage: Bacteria
Description: bacterial SSU rRNA
Rfam family: Bacterial small subunit ribosomal RNA
Source: RNAcentral